GCGAUCGUAGCUCAGUUGGUUAGAGCGUUGGAUUGUGGAUCCAAAUGUCGCGGGUUCGAGCCCCGUCGAUCGCCCA
RNAcentral lists this transfer RNA (76 nucleotides) under Chlamydiae bacterium RIFCSPHIGHO2_12_FULL_49_9. RNAcentral's name for it is "tRNA-His". It matches the Rfam family "tRNA". Rfam says of the family: Transfer RNA (tRNA) molecules are approximately 80 nucleotides in length. The record is from RNAcentral. Lineage: Bacteria; Pseudomonadati; Chlamydiota.